UGGGGAAUAUUGGACAAUGGGGGCAACCCUGAUCCAGCCAUGCCGCGUGUGUGAAGAAGGCCUUUUGGUUGUAAAGCACUUUAAGCAGUGAAGAAGACUCCAUGGUUAAUACCCAUGGACGAUGACAUUAGCUGCAGAAUAAGCACCGGCUAACUCUGUGCCAGCAGCCGCGGUAAUACAGAGGGUGCAAGCGUUAAUCGGAAUUACUGGGCGUAAAGCGAGCGUAGGUGGAUUGAUAAGUCAGAUGUGAAAGCCCCGGGCGUAACCUGGGAACGGCAUCUGAUACUGUUAGGCUAGAGUAGGUGAGAGGAAGGUAGAAUUCCAGGUGUAGCGGUGAAAUGCGUAGAGAUCUGGAGGAAUACCGAUGGCGAAGGCAGCCUUCUGGCAUCAUACUGACACUGAGGUUCGAAAGCGUGGGUAGCAAACA
Molecule: ribosomal RNA, 427 nt
Filed under: uncultured bacterium
Lineage: Bacteria
Description: partial 16S ribosomal RNA
Rfam family: Bacterial small subunit ribosomal RNA
Source: RNAcentral